Molecule: ribosomal RNA, 497 nt
Filed under: uncultured Actinomycetes bacterium
Lineage: Bacteria; Bacillati; Actinomycetota; Actinomycetes
Description: bacterial SSU rRNA
Rfam family: Bacterial small subunit ribosomal RNA
Source: RNAcentral
UGGGGAAUAUUGCACAAUGGGCGAAAGCCUGAUGCAGCAACGCCGCGUGCGGGAAGAAGGCCUUAGGGUUGUAAACCGCUUUCAGCAGGGAAGAAAAUGACGGUACCUGCAGAAGAAGGUGCGGCCAACUACGUGCCAGCAGCCGCGGUGACACGUAGGCACCAAGCGUUGUCCGGAUUUAUUGGGCGUAAAGAGCUCGUAGGCGGUUUAGUAAGUCGGGUGUGAAAACUCUGGGCUCAACCCAGAGACGCCACCCGAUACUGCUAUGACUUGAGUACGGUAGGGGAGUGGGGAAUUCCUGGUGUAGCGGUGAAAUGCGCAGAUAUCAGGAGGAACACCAGUGGCGAAGGCGCCACUCUGGGCCGUAACUGACGCUGAGGAGCGAAAGCGUGGGUAGCAAACAGGAUUAGAUACCCUGGUAGUCCACGCCGUAAACGUUGGGCACUAGGUGUGGGUCUCAACCAACGAGAUCCGCGCCGUCGCUAACGCAUUAAGUG